GUAGGUGAACCUGCGGAUGGAUCAUUACCGAACGUCGUGUCGCCAGUAGCGUCCUCGUAGCGACCCGCACUAUCGGGUCCGAUGCGAACGCGCACGCGCUCAAUCCACACACAAACUCACCCGAGUCGCGCGGGGUCUCCCAAACGCCUCCGUCCGGCUCCACUGCGGACGGUAGGACUCCCGGCUCGCCGCUUUCAGAUCACCUCGCUGCUGAUCGCGGGCUUAGGUACACUAAAGGAGAGGUGCCCAGUCGACCGGGCGGAGCAACGGCGCACGCGUGUUGUAGGUCGUUAAACACUCGGCUCGUCUGCAUUGUGGGGUUCUCGGAAACUUGCACGGGAGUGCGCUGCCGAACGCCCGCUGCUCUAUACCAAACGUUGCAAUCACUCGCUCGACGCGGUCGGCCACGGGCCCGGCUGAAUGCCGAAGGAGAGUGCUGCGACGGGGCGGUGGAGUUCGGCGGUCCGCGAACCCGAGAUUAAAUGUGGCGCCUCGGUGCAGGAAAUGGCCAAGUAACUCGCGGGACAAGGCAUGGGCUCCCUUGUGAACGGCCAUCUUCCGAAGCGGUUGCAACCUCGACCAACACUUUCGCAUAUAAUAAGGUUCUACUGUAACGGUAACGAAUAUUCAGUCCAUGGAUAAGCCCGCAACGGGCCGAAAACUGGCGCGAACGCGUUCACCGGUGUUGCGCCGGUGGCCGGCAACUCGUUCAAAUCGCAUCUGCGAGUGCCGAGAGGCACGCGUGGUGUGUAAGCACAGCUCUAUGCGGUGGAUCACUCGGUCGUGCGUCGAUGAAGAGCGCAGCCAGCUGCGUGAAUUAAUGUGAAUUGCAGGACACACUGAACAUCGACAUCUUGAACGCAUAUUGCGGCUCCGGCUCUCUGCCGGAGCCUCGCCUGUCCGAGGGUAGGCGACCAUGUAAUCGUGACAAUGUGCCGCCGCUUCACCGCGGUAGCACGUCGCGCUUUGGCGCUGUCGAGCGAGCCAGUCUCGCCCGUCCGCCUUGAGAUUUCGACCGCUCCGCGUCUCCGCUUCGGCAGUGGCGCCUGGACCGGGCUCGAUCGGGCUCUCGUCCGGCGCACGUCUGGUCGCAGUUAGCUCUGUGACCGAGACGAGCUGUCCAACAGGAAGCGCAAUACGUAGCGGGCAAACGCAAGUUUGCACAAGUCGUAUGCCCGCCUAGCGAGCAGUACGCACAGCACAUCCUACCUCGGAUCAGACGAGACUACCCGCUGAAUUUAAGCAUAUCAGUAAGCGGAGGAAAAGAAACUAACAAGGAUUCCCCCAGUAACGGCGAGUGAAGCGG
This 1306-nucleotide ribosomal RNA is filed under the name Tresus capax. RNAcentral's name for it is "eukaryotic LSU rRNA". The stretch from base 758 to 910 matches the Rfam family "5.8S ribosomal RNA". The record is from RNAcentral. Lineage: Eukaryota; Metazoa; Mollusca; Bivalvia; Venerida; Mactridae.